Molecule: ribosomal RNA, 253 nt
Filed under: uncultured bacterium
Lineage: Bacteria
Description: partial 16S ribosomal RNA
Rfam family: Bacterial small subunit ribosomal RNA
Source: RNAcentral
UACGGGGGGGGUAAGCGUUGUUCGGAAUUACUGGGCGUAAAGGGCUCGUAGGCGGCCAACUAAGUCAUACGUGAAAUCCCUCAGCUUAACUGGGGAACUGCGUGUGAUACUGGAUGGCUUGGAUUUGGGAGAGGGAUGCGGAAUUCCAGGUGUAGCGGUGAAAUGCGUAGAUAUCUGGAGGAACACCGGUGGCGAAGGCGGUGGUCUGGGCCGGAACUGACGCUGAAUAGCGAAAGCGUGGGUAGCGAACAGG